Molecule: ribosomal RNA, 497 nt
Filed under: uncultured bacterium
Lineage: Bacteria
Description: partial 16S ribosomal RNA
Rfam family: Bacterial small subunit ribosomal RNA
Source: RNAcentral
GAUGAACGCUGGCGGCGUGCCUAACACAUGCAAGUCGAACGGAAAGAUAAUGCUCUUGUGCCGUUCACGUGUGCGGCGGGCGUGUGAGUCACGCGUGUAUCACCUCUUUGUAUUUCUGGAAUCACUACGGAACACCGGCUAUUACCGCAUAUAACAUGUUGAACCGCAGUGGUCUUCGGAGAGAUUCGGCGUUGCGGGCUCUACUAGAUGGUCCCCAGCCGGAUUAGCUAGUUGGUGCGUUAACGGCCCUCCAAGGCUACGAUGCGUAGCCGACCUGAGAGGCUGAUCGGCCACACUGGAAGUGAGACACGGUCCAGACUCCUACGGGAGGCAGCAGUAGGGAAUGUUCGGCAAUGGGCGAAAGUCUGACGGAGCAAGGCCGAGUGAGUGAUGAAGGCCUUCGGAUCGUAAAGCCCUGCUAUUGGGGAAGAACAGCUGCGGAAUGAAACGAGGCCGUCUUGACGGUAACUAAUAAAAAAGCCACGGCUAACUACGUG